CAGGCUGAUGGUUUGUCGCUCUCGGCUCUUGGUGCUGAUGUUCUGCCGGUAUGAUCUACAGAGACUAUACCAGCUUGCUCUUCAAGUCCAGCAGUGUUUGGAAACUCCCCGGUGUUGACAAAUACAUCAGCUAAACAGUUUCACGAAGUUUUGGAAACCGUCCUCUCCAAAGAAGUCAAAGGAGCCCUGGGAUGUGCCAAGGUGGAUGAGCAGGAGGACGAGCAGGACGACGGCCAGAAGUGGAAUCAGUAGGUUCCAGCCAGCUGCCAGGAUGUUGUACCACUUGGCCUUGUCUGAACACUCCUGGGCCAGCUGCAGGUUGCCCUGAGUCUUCUGGUCCCUUGCCUACACAGUUGCAUAAACAAACACUCACGUUAUUGCAUGAAAUUACAGAAAUGAAGAAUC
Molecule: long non-coding RNA, 405 nt
Organism: Micropterus salmoides (largemouth bass)
Lineage: Eukaryota; Metazoa; Chordata; Actinopteri; Centrarchiformes; Centrarchidae
Exons: 2
Source: RefSeq, a predicted model, not a curated record